Molecule: long non-coding RNA, 566 nt
Filed under: Homo sapiens (human)
Lineage: Eukaryota; Metazoa; Chordata; Mammalia; Primates; Hominidae
Description: HSALNT0369395
Source: RNAcentral
GACUUCACCUCCUACUUCCCGAAGAAAAUAGAAGGCAUCAGAUGGGAACUCCCUCAGCUUCCUGCUAGCAAAUCCAUACAGUUCCAUCUGGACUCAUGUUCUUCUCUUUUCCUCCUAUUUUAGUCUAGGGAGUAUCCUUCUCAUUUAAGCCCAAUCCCUCCACCUGUGCUUUGGAAACUGUCUGCUCAUGCCUUCUCACUUCAUUAUCAACCUUACACUAUCAGUUUCUUCUCCCUCCCUGCCCCCAUUUCUAUUUAUUCGACAUACCCUUCUCAACUGGAUUAUUUCCAAUUACAUUUAAAUCUUCUCAUGCCUCUUCCAUCUUAAAAAACAACCUUCCUUGUCUCCCAAUUUCUAUGUUUCUAUCUUUCAACUCCUUUCUAUCUUUCCCAUUUCUUUCAAUCUAAAUUUUCUAAAGAUGUCUCAUUGUUUGGAGCUACAUCUGGUUGCUUUCUCAGAAGGUGCCUAUUGCCAUAAUAGACCUUGGAGAACAAGAGGCUAUUCUCCACUUCAGCCCUCUCGUUUAUUUACAUUAGAGAUUAAAUAACAUUCAAUUUGAAUCUUUG